CUGAAGUAGAUCAAGCUGGCAGGUACUAAACAUGCAAGUCGAGGGGUAACAUUAUAGCUUGCUAUAGAUGACGACCGGCGCACGGGUGCGGAACGCGUAUGGAACCUGCCCCUGUCAGGGGAAUAGCCCAGAGAAAUUUGGAUUAAUGCCCCAUGGUAACAUUAUAUCGCAUGAUAUUUUGUUUAAAGAUUUAUCGGACAGGGAUGGCCAUGCGUACCAUUAGCUUGUUGGUGGGGUAACGGCCCACCAAGGCAACGAUGGUUAGGGGCCCUGAGAGGGGGAUCCCCCACACUGGUACUGAGACACGGACCAGACUCCUACGGGAGGCAGCAGUGAGGAAUAUUGGACAAUGGGCGGGAGCCUGUUCCAGCCAUGCCGCGUGCAGGAUGACUGCCCUAUGGGUUGUAAACUGCUUUUAUACGGGAAGAAACCUAUCUACGUGUAGAUAGCUGACGGUACCGUAAGAAUAAGGACCGGCUAACUCCGUGCCAGCAGCCGCGGUAAUACGGAGGGUCCGAGCGUUAUCCGGAAUCAUUGGGUUUAAAGGGUCCGUAGGUGGGCCAUUAAGUCAGGGGUGAAAGUCUGCGGCUCAACCGUAGAAUUGCCCUUGAUACUGGUGGUCUUGAGUCGUUGUGGGGUUGCCGGAACAUGUGGUGUAGCGGUGAAAUGCAUAGAUAUCACAUAGAACACCGAUCGCGAAGGCAGGUGACCAACAACGUACUGACACUGAUGGACGAAAGCGUGGGUAGCGAACGGGAUUAGAUACCCCGGUAGUCCACGCCGUAGACGAUGGAUACUAGCUGUCGGGUCUUCGGACUCGGCGGCCAAGCGAAAGUGAUAAGUAUCCCACCUGGGGAGUACGUUCGCAAGAAUGAACUCAAUGAAUUGACGG
Molecule: ribosomal RNA, 892 nt
Filed under: uncultured bacterium
Lineage: Bacteria
Description: bacterial SSU rRNA
Rfam family: Bacterial small subunit ribosomal RNA
Source: RNAcentral